ACCACUACUAAAUCUAUGUAUUCGUCAGAAUUUUCAAUAGUUUCUGCUAGAAUGAAGAAGAAGAAUUGGUUUUGGUUCGGUUUUCUGGUUCAAGAGAGCAGUGUAGGGCAGGCUUUCCGAUUCUUAGCUUGAGUUCUUUUUUGUGCGGAGGCUCAGAACCUCGCCUUACCACUUCCUCUUUAGUUUGUACCCGUUUUCAUCCUCAGAAUGACGAACUAGC
This is a non-coding RNA of Caenorhabditis elegans, 220 nucleotides long. The record is from Ensembl. Lineage: Eukaryota; Metazoa; Nematoda; Chromadorea; Rhabditida; Rhabditidae.